GAUGAACGCUGGCGGCGUGCCUAAUACAUGCAAGUCGAGCGAUCAGACGAGGAGCUUGCUCCUCUGACGUUAGCGGCGGACGGGUGAGUAACACGUGGAUAACCUACCUAUAAGACUGGGAUAACUUCGGGAAACCGGAGCUAAUACCGGAUAAUAUAUUGAACCGCAUGGUUCAAUAGUGAAAGACGGUUUUGCUGUCACUUAUAGAUGGAUCCGCGCCGCAUUAGCUAGUUGGUAAGGUAACGGCUUACCAAGGCAACGAUGCGUAGCCGACCUGAGAGGGUGAUCGGCCACACUGGAACUGAGACACGGUCCAGACUCCUACGGGAGGCAGCAGUAGGGAAUCUUCCGCAAUGGGCGAAAGCUUGACGGAGCAACGCCGCGUGAGUGAUGAAGGUCUUCGGAUCGUAAAACUCUGUUAUUAGGGAAGAACAAAUGUGUAAGUAACUAUGCACGUCCUGACGGUACCUAAUCAGAAAGCCACGGCUAACUACGUG
RNAcentral lists this ribosomal RNA (497 nucleotides) under uncultured bacterium. Its description in RNAcentral is "partial 16S ribosomal RNA". It matches the Rfam family "Bacterial small subunit ribosomal RNA", at positions 28 to 507 of the family's 1533-position model. The record is from RNAcentral.